Lepus europaeus (European hare) is the source of this 1134-nucleotide long non-coding RNA. RefSeq lists it as uncharacterized. The record is from RefSeq and is a predicted model, not a curated record. NCBI's taxonomy places the organism in Eukaryota, Metazoa, Chordata, Mammalia, Lagomorpha, Leporidae. The transcript has 3 exons.
CGGAAGCGUUGCCCGAGGCCGGAAGGGGACGGUCACCCUAGGGGGCUUCCCGCUGAGAGGGUCUGCGGUCCCGGCUCCGGUGUUCAGAGGUGCUUCGUAGCCAUGGGAAGCAUGACAGAAAUGUUUCCAAGCACACGCGUGAACUCCUGUGCCUCAAGGACACCGACUGAGUUCCCCGUGCAGGUGGCCGGGGGGUGAGAACCAUACCUUCCAGUGCGCCUCUGAGUGCUGCAUGAACUCCAGACCCUGCUGCACCUCUGCUCUCAUCUCGUGGAUGUGGGCCAUGGUGUGCACUGACCACGCAUCCGUCGGGGUGAUAGAGCCUGCGAGCGGGUGAGACAGCGUGGGUCAGUCAGGCUGCCUGGCCAGGACGCAGCACGUCUCACACAGGCCUGGGCUCCAGCUUGGAACCAUCACAACCCCAGGACAGCCCAUGUACGCAUGCGUAGGGCACACCAGCACAGGACACCGCGAGGCAGAGGCGUGACUGGCCCAGGGUACACAGCUGGGAUGCAGCAGAGUCUCCAAUGCCGGGGCUCAUCCCGGGACCCCACAGCCUCCUGCAUACCGCUGAGGCUCCUGCAUCUGGCCUCAGUUUCUCUCCAGUGCAGGGGCCCGAUGAUGCCUUCCACUCAGGGCUGCAUGGAGAAGUGGACACUGUCCAGUGUGGGUGGUCUUCACCCCAUCUGUAGACAGACUGAGGGCUCCGGAAACCAGGAUUCUGCCUCCAGAUUCAAGUCUCUCCUCUCAGGGGGCCGGCGCUGUGGCACUGGGGGUUAAAGCCCUGGUCUGCAGUGCUGGCAUCCCAUAUGGGUGCCAGUUCAAGUCCCAGCUGUUCUACUUCCAAUCCAGCUCUCUGCUAUAGCCUGGGAAAGCAGUGGAAGAUAACCCAAGUCCUUGGCCACUGCACCUGCAUGGGACACCAGGAAGAAUCUUCUGACUGGAAGAAGCUGUUGCCUGGUCCUGGAGAAUCUGUUCCCAUAAGGCACAGGCCUUCGGGAAGUUCCUGGAAGCCAAGAGGAGCUCUCAGCACCACUGAACACAAAGCCUCCACCCCCAAGCAUAAAACACAUUCCACGUCAUAGACUGCACUGAUUGGCUUAAAAAUAACAGCUUCUAAGCUAGAAAGUGGCU